This 461-nucleotide ribosomal RNA is filed under the name uncultured bacterium. RNAcentral describes it as "SSU rRNA". It matches the Rfam family "Bacterial small subunit ribosomal RNA", at positions 26 to 518 of the family's 1533-position model. The record is from RNAcentral.
AGAAUCAACGCUGGCGGCGUGCCUAACACAUGCAAGUCGAACGAGAAAGUGGAGCAAUCCAUGAGUACAGUGGCGUACGGGUGAGUAACACGUGACUAACCUACCCUCGAGUGGGGAAUAACCUCGGGAAACCGGGGCUAAUACCGCAUAACAUCUUCGGAUCAAAUGCGUAAACAGCUUGAGGAGGGGGUCGCGGCCGAUUAGCUAGUUGGCGGGGUAAUGGCCCACCAAGGCAAUGAUCGGUAGCCGGCCUGAGAGGGCGCACGGCCGACACUGGAACUGAAACACGGUCCAGACUCCUACGGGAGGCAGCAGUGGGGAAUUUUGCGCAAUGGGGGAAACCCUGACGCAGCAACGCCGCGUGGAGGAUGAAGCCCUUUGGGGCGUAAACUCCUUUCGAUCGGGACGAUUAUGACGGUACCGGAAGAAGAAGCACCGGCUAACUCUGUGUCAGCAGCCGC